This 326-nucleotide ribosomal RNA is filed under the name uncultured Fibrobacterota bacterium. RNAcentral's name for it is "bacterial SSU rRNA". It matches the Rfam family "Bacterial small subunit ribosomal RNA", at positions 28 to 351 of the family's 1533-position model. The record is from RNAcentral. Lineage: Bacteria; Pseudomonadati; Fibrobacterota.
GACGAACGCUGGCGGCGUGCUUAACACAUGCAAGUCGAACGAGAAAUCCCGCUUCGGCGGGAUGGACAGUGGCGAACGGGUGAGUAACACGUAGGUAAUCUGCCCUCGAGUGGGGAAUAAUUCCGGGAAACUGGUUGUAAUACCGCAUGACAUCCCGGCGGGACAUCCCGUUGGGAUCAAAGGUUUCGGCCGCUCGAGGAUGAGCCUGCGCCCCAUUAGCUUGUUGGUGAGGUAACGGCUCACCAAGGCUACGAUGGGUAGCUGGUCUGAGAGGACGACCAGCCACACUGGGACUGAGAUACGGCCCAGACUCCUACGGGAGGCAG